RNAcentral lists this ribosomal RNA (210 nucleotides) under uncultured bacterium. RNAcentral describes it as "partial 16S ribosomal RNA". It matches the Rfam family "Bacterial small subunit ribosomal RNA", at positions 568 to 775 of the family's 1533-position model. The record is from RNAcentral.
AGCGUAGGCGGCGUGGUAAGUCAGAUGUGAAAUCCCAGGGCUCAACCCCGGAACUGCAUCCGAUACUGCCGUGCUAGAGGAUUGGAGAGGUAGCUGGAAUUCACGGUGUAGCAGUGAAAUGCGUAGAUAUCGUGAGGAACACUCGUGGCGAAAGCGAGCUACUGGACAACCUCCUGACGCUGAGGCUCGGAAGCCAGGGGUAGCGGAAAG